AUAUUUUAAAAUUGAAAUUGAUAGUUUACACAAUGUGUCCCAACACCAGUCUCCGAUCCUUUAAUGUUAUGAAAUAUACAUGGCAUUUUUAUCGAUGAAAUGGC
Molecule: long non-coding RNA, 104 nt
Organism: Aricia agestis (brown argus)
Lineage: Eukaryota; Metazoa; Arthropoda; Insecta; Lepidoptera; Lycaenidae
Exons: 3
Source: RefSeq, a predicted model, not a curated record